CCUGACAAAAGUACCACAAGCUUCUGUAUUUGUCCCUAUACGGGUUUCACGUAGAUACUGAGAAAGAACGGAAAUUCCAGAACAUCCCAUCGAAGUUGCAAUAAAGCAGCGUGCGAGAACCUCGGAGUUAGCACGGCUCAAAACUCAAGCUCCGUUGCUCCAUAUUCCACACAGCGGGAAGGAUCAGUAGGGAAGAAGUACUGGCACUUUGUCAUCAGUCUUUUUAGGCCUUGAAUAUACUUGCGUUGCGUUUCAUCGUUCAG
Molecule: long non-coding RNA, 263 nt
Organism: Daphnia carinata
Lineage: Eukaryota; Metazoa; Arthropoda; Branchiopoda; Diplostraca; Daphniidae
Exons: 3
Source: RefSeq, a predicted model, not a curated record